RNAcentral lists this ribosomal RNA (462 nucleotides) under uncultured bacterium. RNAcentral's name for it is "partial 16S ribosomal RNA". It matches the Rfam family "Bacterial small subunit ribosomal RNA", at positions 338 to 795 of the family's 1533-position model. The record is from RNAcentral.
CCUACGGGAGGCAGCAGUGAGGAAUAUUGCGCAAUGGGCGAAAGCCUGACGCAGCGACGCCGCGUGGGGGAAGAAGGCCUUCGGGUCGUAAAUCCCUGUAGGAAGGAAAGAAGUGACGCAGCUAACAACUGUGUCAUGACGGUACCUUCGAAGGAAGCACUGGCAAACUCCGUGCCAGCAGCCGCGGUAAGACGGAGAGUGCAAGCGUUGUCCGGAUUUACUGGGCGUAAAGGGCGUGUAGGAGGCUUUGAAAGUCGAGUGUGAAAUCCUCUGGCCCAACCAGAGAAGUGCGCUCGAAACUUCAGAGCUUGAGUACGGGAGGGGGAAGCGGAACUCCCGGUGUAGAGGUGAAAUUCGUAGAUAUCGGGAGGAACACCGGUGGCGAAGGCGGCUUCCUGGACCGUUUCUGACGCUGAUACGCGAAAGCGUGGGGAGCAAACAGGAUUAGAUACCCCAGUAGUC